Molecule: small RNA, 105 nt
Filed under: Klebsiella aerogenes
Lineage: Bacteria; Pseudomonadati; Pseudomonadota; Gammaproteobacteria; Enterobacterales; Enterobacteriaceae
Description: partial RtT sRNA
Rfam family: RtT RNA
About the family: This family represents a bacterial cis-regulatory element known as RtT RNA. The exact function of RtT is unknown although it is thought that it may be involved in changing the cellular response in relation to amino acid starvation.
Source: RNAcentral
UGUUUGCACUUAGCGGGAAGGGUAAGAACCUUCGACUAAGGUUCGACUCGAGCGUCAGCGAGAGAACGUUGCCGCAGGCAACGGCCCGAAGGGCGAGGCGCUUUA